RNAcentral lists this long non-coding RNA (200 nucleotides) under Malus domestica (apple). RNAcentral's name for it is "long non-coding RNA (MDOM_LNC020578)". Lineage: Eukaryota; Viridiplantae; Streptophyta; Magnoliopsida; Rosales; Rosaceae. The record is from RNAcentral.
ACAUCGUAUCAUCGUGAGGCUAUUCUUGAACCCCUUCACGAACUAAACAUGGUGGGAAUGACUUAACUAAGUGCAAUGGAGCCAACAUCAUAUCAUUGUGAGGUGACAUUCUCUAGAGGCCAAAUAAGAUAGGUACUUGCAAGAGAUGCAAAUGAGUAAGCGUACUCUCUCAUUAUUAUUAAUGCUAGCCAACAUCAUAU